RNAcentral lists this ribosomal RNA (674 nucleotides) under uncultured Eubacteriales bacterium. RNAcentral's name for it is "bacterial SSU rRNA". It matches the Rfam family "Bacterial small subunit ribosomal RNA", at positions 59 to 738 of the family's 1533-position model. The record is from RNAcentral. Lineage: Bacteria; Bacillati; Bacillota; Clostridia; Eubacteriales.
GAGCGAUGAAACUUUAACAGAACCCUUCGGGGCGAAGAUAAAGUGGAUUAGCGGCGGACGGGUGAGUAACACGUGAGUAACCUGCCUUAGACAUUGGGAUAGCCUCGGGAAACCGGGAUUAAUACCAAAUAAAAUCAUAAUGACACAUGUCAUAACGAUCAAAACUCCGGUGGUCUAAGAUGGACUCGCGUCCCAUUAGCUAGUUGGUAGAGUAAAAGCCUACCAAGGCGACGAUGGGUAGCCGGCCUGAGAGGGUGAACGGCCACAUUGGAACUGAGAAACGGUCCAAACUCCUACGGGAGGCAGCAGUGGGGAAUAUUGCACAAUGGAGGGAACUCUGAUGCAGCGACGCCGCGUGAACGAAGAAGGCUUUCGAGUCGUAAAGUUCUUUUAUAUGGGAAGAUGAUGACGGUACCAUAAGAAAAAGCCCCGGCUAACUACGUGCCAGCAGCCGCGGUAAUACGUAGGGGGCUAGCGUUGUCCGGAAUCACUGGGCGUAAAGGGUUCGCAGGCGGAAAUGCAAGUCAGAUGUAAAAGGCAGUAGCUUAACUACUGUAAGCAUUUGAAACUGCAUAUCUUGAGAAGAGUAGAGGUAAGUGGAAUUUUUAGUGUAGCGGUGAAAUGCGUAGAUAUUAAAAAGAAUACCGGUGGCGAAGGCGACUUACUGGGCUCAU